CCUACGGGAGGCAGCAGUGGGGAAUAUUGCACAAUGGGGGAAACCCUGAUGCAGCGACGCCGCGUGAGUGAAGAAGUAUUUCGGUACGUAAAGCUCUAUCAGCAGGGAAGAAAAUGACGGUACCUGACUAAGAAGCCCCGGCUAACUACGUGCCAGCAGCCGCGGUAAUACGUAGGGGGUAAGCGUUAUCCGGAUUUACUGGGUGUAAAGGGAGCGUAGACGGCAGCGCAAGUCUGGAGUGAAAUCCCAUGGCUUAACCAUGGAACUGCUUUGGAAACUGUGCAGCUAGAGUGCAGGAGAGGUAAGCGGAAUUCCUAGUGUAGCGGUGAAAUGCGUAGAUAUUAGGAGGAACACCAGUGGCGAAGGCGGCUUACUGGACUGUAACUGACGUUGAGGCUCGAAAGCGUGGGGAGCAAACAGGAUUAGAUACCCGAGUAGUC
This 440-nucleotide ribosomal RNA is filed under the name uncultured bacterium. RNAcentral describes it as "partial 16S ribosomal RNA". It matches the Rfam family "Bacterial small subunit ribosomal RNA", at positions 338 to 795 of the family's 1533-position model. The record is from RNAcentral.